GUCGUAAAAGGGGACGCGGAGGAGAAGGAAAGUCGCUCAAGCAGUGGACAGAGCGGAGAAAGCGACUUCGGGUCUGCUGGAGUUUGCUGGAGGUGCACUCCAGACUCUGUUUGCCUGCCUAUCACCAACAGAGGCUGCAGAACAGCAAAGAUUGCUGUCUGUAACUUCCUCUGGAAGCUUCAUCCCAGAGGGGCACCUGCCAGAUGCCAGCCGGAGCUCUCCUCUAUGAGUUCAGCCUGAGAAAACUCCUGAGCAUGUGCGAAAAAGAAAAGAAGAAAAGAAAAGUAAAGAAAAGAAAAAAGGAAAAAGGGCAAGCUCCUGAGUGGAUCUCUCAGGGAGCCACCAGACAGUGAAUGAAGGAGGGAAGAAAGGAGAGACAGAGAAAAUAUGGAUUUCCUCAUGGUUGUGAUUCCUCUUCACUCUUUUGAAUUUGGAAGGAUGGCAUACACAUCUGAAAAAUACCACUACUUCCUUCAUUGGACUGCAAGGUAUUUCUGUUUGGAAAAGUAAUGGAGUCCAGUCAACUUCAUUGAUCGCCAAGGACUGUCAAAAUUAUAAAACUUGCUGUGGAGCUCUGACAUGCCAGAAGCCGCUAGAAAAAGAAGUUUGACAUUCAGAAACUUAUCAAGAGGUUCUACUCUUUGGAUAGAGACCAAAAUCAUACUUUGAAAAAGCCUGACAGGUUUCUUCGGAAAAGUGGCCAUCCAUGGAAUGAAUGAAAUGUUCUCUUUCUAUUCCAGGGAUUGCAGUGGCAAAGCUAGGCUAGGUCUUGGAGGCUGGUGUAAGGCGAUGUGGGUGAAGGCAGGAGGCUGAUGGAAAGACUGGGGGGAAGAAAAGCCGAAAUGGAUUCACGGUGCCUUGGAUGAAGGACGAGAGGGGAACUGCAAGCUCCUUCAACUGGUUCUGUCCGGUGAGAAGUGAUCAAGCUUGGGCUGACAAGAGGCUCAGGGAGCCCUCACGUUCUUUCGCUUUUUUACCUGCCAAUCAAACUGCUACAAGACAACACCCUGAUCUGGCAUGGACAUUCAUUGCAGUCACCUGGAGUCACGGAAAUGACCAUGAUUGCCUGAACUUUCAUGACUUCUGUGGAUAACUGUGGUUGCAGAAAAGAGAAAACCUGGACCGUGAGGGACAUUUCACUCCCUGGGCUUUGGUUGGAGUGCAGUGGCGCGAUCUUGGCUCACUGCAACCGCCACUUCCCAGGUUCAAGUGGUUCUCCUGCCUCAGCCUCCUGAGUACCUGAAAUUACAGGCGCCCGCCACCACGCCAGUCUCAAUACCUUCACAGAGGUGAAGAAGCAGCAACCAAAUGAAUUAGACAGCAACAUGAUUCCUAGAGAAUGGCAAGACCAAUUCUUCAACUACUUCUUCAGCAUUUCUGAAACAUAUGGAAGAUGGCCCAUUGUGCUCUCUUAAUUCUUUGAUAAUCUGGACAUUGACUUUUCCAUUAUAUGACCUGGGCUUGUGGGCAUCAUGUCAUAAUGCACCUGUUCAGACAUCUCCCUGUACCAAUAUGGAUCACUUGAAGAGACUCCUUUGCCCCCAUCAAAAAGGAUACAGUUGUGUAUCUCUUCCAUUUUUGUUUACAGUGCCUAAAAUUAUUUGAGCAGUUUUUCACCUCUUCUCUGAUAAACACCUUAUUAGUCCUUAAAAAGAAAAGAAAAAAGGAAAAUAAAACUUUUAUUGAGAUCCUAA
This 1694-nucleotide long non-coding RNA is filed under the name Homo sapiens (human). RNAcentral describes it as "PREDICTED lncRNA (TCONS_00188988)". The stretch from base 750 to 1025 matches the Rfam family "SOX2 overlapping transcript exon 3". The record is from RNAcentral. Lineage: Eukaryota; Metazoa; Chordata; Mammalia; Primates; Hominidae.